This 441-nucleotide ribosomal RNA is filed under the name uncultured bacterium. RNAcentral describes it as "partial 16S ribosomal RNA". It matches the Rfam family "Bacterial small subunit ribosomal RNA", at positions 338 to 795 of the family's 1533-position model. The record is from RNAcentral.
CCUACGGGUGGCAGCAGUGGGGAAUAUUGCACAAUGGGGGAAACCCUGAUGCAGCGACGCCGCGUGAGUGAAGGAGUAUUUCGGUAUGUAAAGCUCUAUCAGUAGGGAAGAAGAAAGACGGUACCUGCCUAAGAAACCCCGGCUAACUACGGGCCAGAAGCCGCGGGAAUACGUAGGGGGCAAGCGUUAUCCGGAUUUACUGGGGGUAAAGGGUGUGUAGACGGGUGGGCAAGGCUGAAGUUGAAGUCCGUGGCUCAACCGCGGAACUGCUUUGGAAACUGUUUGUCUGGAGUACUGGAGAGGCAGGCGGAAUUCCUAGUGUAGCGGUGAAAUGCGUAGAUAUUAGGAGGAACACCAGUGGCGAAGGCGGCCUGCUGGACAGAAACUGACGUUGAGGCUCGAAAGCGUGGGGAGCAAACAGGAUUAGAUACCCCUGUAGUC